UAGGGAAUCUUCCACAAUGUACGCAAGUCUGAUGGAGCAACGCCGCGUGAGUGAAGAAGGUCUUCGGAUCGUAAAACUCUGUUGUUAGAGAGGAACACGAGUGAGAGUAACUGUUCAUUCGAUGACGGUNUCUAACCAGCAAGUCACGGCUAACUACGUGCCAC
This 164-nucleotide ribosomal RNA is filed under the name uncultured bacterium. RNAcentral describes it as "partial 16S rRNA". It matches the Rfam family "Bacterial small subunit ribosomal RNA", at positions 355 to 511 of the family's 1533-position model. The record is from RNAcentral.